This 254-nucleotide ribosomal RNA is filed under the name uncultured bacterium. RNAcentral describes it as "partial 16S ribosomal RNA". It matches the Rfam family "Bacterial small subunit ribosomal RNA", at positions 524 to 776 of the family's 1533-position model. The record is from RNAcentral.
UACGGGGGGAGCAAGCGUUGUUCGGAUUUACUGGGCGUAAAGGGCGCGUAGGCGGCCACCGCAAGUCGACUGUGAAAUCUCCGGGCUUAACCCGGAAAGGUCAGCCGAUACUGCGGGGCUAGAGUGCAGAAGGGGCAACUGGAAUUCUCGGUGUAGCGGUGAAAUGCGCAGAUAUCGGGAGGAACACCAAUGGCGAAGGCAGCUUGCUGGGACGGUACUGACGCUGAGGCGCGAAAGCGUGGGGAGCAAACAGG